Long non-coding RNA from Aplysia californica (California sea hare), 1299 nucleotides. RefSeq lists it as uncharacterized. Lineage: Eukaryota; Metazoa; Mollusca; Gastropoda; Aplysiida; Aplysiidae. The transcript has 3 exons. The record is from RefSeq and is a predicted model, not a curated record.
ACGCCUAGAAGUCAGUAAGAAGUAUGUUAUAUAUAUUAUAUUGAGUAUUAUUUAGUUUUGCAUAAUGUCUAGGUCCUUUCUGCUAUCCGUAUUAUUAUUUAUUAUUCUACACAUCAUUCAUUUUGACAAGAUCUAGAUCUAAUUCUCUUCCAGAUUCCUUAUUCCUGUGGAUACACAGACUGAGACAGCCUGACUGAGGUCCAAUUUAUUCUCUUAUAAUUAGUGAAGCAGUCGACUCUACGGGUGGAUUUUGACAAGAUAGACGGGACAAGCAUUGGUGGGGAUGCUGCCUCUUCGGACACUGCAACACACAAAAUGACUACUGGAGUGCAAUUUGGAAACCAAUAGAUGCAGAAAUGUACAGUGGUCUGUGUGCCACAAUGAUUCAUCUUGGAAAAGAGAGGAAGCCAGACCCUCUGGAUGUUCCUGCUACCAACAAGAUUUUCGUAAUGCGUCAUUUAGUUGGAGAACAAGGGAAAAUGAAAAGGAGUGGUUUCAGAAACUUUUUUCAAAACUCAUCUUUGACACCAUUUGUGUGGUCAGGAAGUGUGAAUGUGGUGCAGAAAACACUGACUCUGGAAAGUGACAUUCUGUGUGGAUUUUUGCUGAGGCCACUGAAAGUGAACUGUGUCUUUUUUCCUGGAUGCUUGUGGCAUUGACUGAACAAUGAAUAUUUUUAACCCCUUGUACUUGUUUAAUUAAGUUGGAAAUGAAAGCUUGACUUACGAAAAUGUUAUAGAUCUCAUUCAUUAUUUGUCCAAAGAGAGGCAGAUAGAUUUAAUGAGGUUAGUUUUUUGUACCUGUGUGGGUCAAAUUAAUUUGCAAUGUCUGCAUCAUAGUUGCAAAACUCAGAUCUUUUGUUUAUUGAAUACAACCAUAAUUUGCUAAAGGACACAAAAAAGAAAAAUAGUACAACUCCAACUGUUCAGGAGCUUUUAUCAAAGAAAAUUUUUAUGAACACAAACACAAUUGACGAACAGGCCGCUACUUCGAAAACAUAACUAACAACCCCCCUGAUAUUGUUAACGCAAAUAUUAAGACAUGUCCAAAGCUGGUAAUUGAAUGCACUGAAUGCUGCCAGAUAAAAUAAAAUCUUUAGAAAGUCUCCACAGUAGGAUGGAGCGGGUAAAUGCUUUUCUCCAGAAUGAAAAAGGAAAAAUUGAGCUGCGGAUGGUGAAAUGAAAGAACAAAAAGAAUGAAUGAAAAUCAGAUAGGAGUUAUAUCAAGCUGUCACAGAAAAUGAAAGAAAAAAGCAAAUGCAAAGCCAAAUGAGAGGACUUCACACAAAAAAAUGGAAAA